Long non-coding RNA from Cyprinus carpio (common carp), 403 nucleotides. RefSeq lists it as uncharacterized. The transcript is spliced from 3 exons. The record is from RefSeq and is a predicted model, not a curated record. Lineage: Eukaryota; Metazoa; Chordata; Actinopteri; Cypriniformes; Cyprinidae.
UUUAAAGCCGGAUGUUUUUGCUUAAUUGUAGCCUGAUAUUGAUAUUUAAUAAUCGCUUAUGCGGGAAUUUCUACUUGAUGGCAUAUAAACCUGUUGAGAAGCUGUAACGUCACAUUUCGUUCAAGAACUACACAUGUGCAGCUCCAUGAAGACUGACUGAAUCAUGGAGGAUAAACAAACAUCCAGAGAUGCAGAUAUUUCUCCAGGACACAGUGACAGAUCAAACCAACAGGAGUCCAGCUGUGUGUCCAUUAAGAGUUACAAAUCAAUGGAACAGCCAGGAAAACUAGAGGGAGGACACAAAUCUACUGAUCUGAGGUACACAGUGGCAGUGCUAGGGCAUGGCUUGCUGGGACUAUAGCCCCACUAGAUAUUAGCAUAGCAUCGGGUGAACAAAAAAACA